GGCGGGGUAACGGCCCACCAAGACAACGAUGGAUAGGGGUUCUGAGAGGAAGGUCCCCCACAUUGGAACUGAGACACGGUCCAAACUCCUACGGGAGGCAGCAGUGAGGAAUAUUGGUCAAUGGACGAGAGUCUGAACCAGCCAAGUAGCGUGAAGGAUGACUGCCCUAUGGGUUGUAAACUUCUUUUAUAUGGGAAUAAAAUGUUCCACGUGUGGGAUUUUGUAUGUACCAUAUGAAUAAGGAUCGGCUAACUCCGUGCCAGCAGCCGCGGUAAUACGGAGGAUCCGAGCGUUAUCCGGAUUUAUUGGGUUUAAAGGGAGCGUAGGUGGAUUGUUAAGUCAGUUGUGAAAGUUUGCGGCUCAACCGUAAAAUUGCAGUUGAAACUGGCAGUCUUGAGUACAGUAGAGGUGGGCGGAAUUCGUGGUGUAGCGGUGAAAUGCUUAGAUAUCACGAAGAACUCCGAUUGCGAAGGCAGCUCACUGGACUGCAACUGACACUGAGGCUCGAAAGUGUGGGUAUCAAACAGGAUUAGAUACCCUGGUAGUCCACACAGUAAACGAUGAAUACUCGCUGUUUGCGAUAUACAGUAA
RNAcentral lists this ribosomal RNA (591 nucleotides) under uncultured bacterium. RNAcentral describes it as "bacterial SSU rRNA". It matches the Rfam family "Bacterial small subunit ribosomal RNA", at positions 251 to 842 of the family's 1533-position model. The record is from RNAcentral.